This 411-nucleotide ribosomal RNA is filed under the name uncultured bacterium. Its description in RNAcentral is "bacterial SSU rRNA". It matches the Rfam family "Bacterial small subunit ribosomal RNA", at positions 358 to 774 of the family's 1533-position model. The record is from RNAcentral.
GGGAUAUUGCACAAUGGGGGAAACCCUGAUGCAGCGACGCCGCGUGGGUGAAGAAGCUUUUCGGAGCGUAAAGCCCUAUCAGCAGGGAAGAAAGCCCGCAAGGGUUAGACGGUACCUGACUAAGAAGCCCCGGCUAACUACGUGCCAGCAGCCGCGGUAAUACGUAGGGGGCGAGCGUUAUCCGGAUUCACUGGGCGUAAAGGGAGCGCAGACGGCAUAUUAAGUCCGGGGUGAAAACACGGGGCCCAACCCCGUGCCUGCCCCGGAUACUGGUAAGCUGGAGUGCGGGAGAGGUGUGCGGAAUUCCUGGUGUAGCGGUGAAAUGCGUAGAGAUCAGGAGGAACACCGGCGGCGAAGGCGGCACACUGGACCGUAACUGACGUUGAGGCUCGAAGGCGUGGGGAGCAAACA